RNAcentral lists this long non-coding RNA (381 nucleotides) under Dromaius novaehollandiae (emu). RNAcentral describes it as "lncRNA (ENSDNVG00000005258.1)". The record is from RNAcentral. Lineage: Eukaryota; Metazoa; Chordata; Aves; Casuariiformes; Dromaiidae.
AUGAUGAACACAAGCGUGACCGCACCGUGGCCUGACCCGCUCCGGUCAGCGGGACGGGGAGGAGUCGGAGGCUCCGCUCGGCUGCCGGCCGUCCCGGAGCGCCGCAGACACGAGCUAUGCAGCGAGUUGAUCCGGUCUUCCCCGAGGCACUGGAAGAAUUAUUACGGACUAAAGCUAAGGAAUAGGCCUUCAUGCAGUGAGCCAUGCAGAGAGCCAGGGACUCACAGAAAUGCUGGAGUUCAAGCACAAGACUCAAGGGCAGAGGAGCGAGGAUCCCUAUCAGGAUGGAUUGAUGCUGCCCAGAGCACCGUGUGCCGCUCCUGUGCUGCCGAGGUGUCUCCCGCUGCACAUACUGCACGUCGAGAUCGAAAGGAGAAUUAG